GCGGGGUAACGGCCCACCAAAGCGACGAUCAGUAGCCGACCUGAGAGGGUGACCGGCCACAUUGGGACUGAGACACGGCCCAAACUCCUACGGGAGGCAGCAGUGGGGAAUAUUGCACAAUGGGGGGAACCCUGAUGCAGCGACGCCGCGUGAGCGAAGAAGUAUCUCGGUAUGUAAAGCUCUAUCAGCAGGGAAGAAAAAUGACGGUACCUGACUAAGAAGCCCCGGCUAACUACGUGCCAGCAGCCGCGGUAAUACGUAGGGGGCAAGCGUUAUCCGGAUUUACUGGGUGUAAAGGGAGCGCAGGCGGCGCGGCAAGUCUGAUGUGAAAGCCCGGGGCUCAACCCCGGGACUGCAUUGGAAACUGUCGCGCUCGAGUGUCGGAGAGGUAAGUGGAAUUCCUAGUGUAGCGGUGAAAUGCGUAGAUAUUAGGAGGAACACCAGUGGCGAAGGCGGCUUACUGGACGACAACUGACGCUGAGGCUCGAAAGCGUGGGGAGCAAACAGGAUUAGAUACCCUGGUAGUCCACGCCGU
Molecule: ribosomal RNA, 535 nt
Filed under: uncultured bacterium
Lineage: Bacteria
Description: bacterial SSU rRNA
Rfam family: Bacterial small subunit ribosomal RNA
Source: RNAcentral